Molecule: long non-coding RNA, 5827 nt
Organism: Falco peregrinus (peregrine falcon)
Lineage: Eukaryota; Metazoa; Chordata; Aves; Falconiformes; Falconidae
Exons: 2
Source: RefSeq, a predicted model, not a curated record
GGCACACACCUUCGCUGUUUUCAUGCUUGUGUACCUCCGUCAGCUUCUGUAGUUUGGGUUUUUAUCUGUGUGGUGAUACUGGUAGAAGCUGGAGUAACCUUUUAGGAAAAAGAGAAUAUAGCCUUAUUUAUUUAUUUAUCUAUCUAUCUAUCUAUCUAUCUAUUUAUUUAUUUAUUUAAAGGACAUUUUCCUAAUUUAUUUGAUGGAGGCAGGUGUAUUGCCAGUAGUUACAGGCGUGCAACAUCACGGAAGGGAAUCUCAACAUUCUGACUAAACCUCAAGUCUGCACUAAGACAGAGGGAAGGGUUUAUGCUUCACAUAUACCAGCUGGGCAAUGGUGGGCUGGGAAGCAAACGUCGGUAGGUAAAAUGAUUUGCCCACCCAAUAUGACACGUUUGAUAGAAAAGGUGGAAUUGUAACUCUUGGCUUUUUAGCGUCAUUUAAGAAACAGGUAUGGUACAUAAUGAGAAGGUACUGUGGUCAAACUUGCUGUAGGAGGCUGGCUGUGCUUUUGCAAAGGCUAAUAUCUAUUGCCUCUUUUCUGGGGUUGUGCCUUGGGGUCGUACGUUCAUGGCAAUAACUGCACUGGCAGAAAAUGCAUCCUGCUUUAUCCCCAUUUCUCUCUGGUGAUGGUACCUCACUAAAAACUUGCAGCAAUAAAACCAGCGAAGUUUAUAGUCGCGUGUGUGGAAGUUGUUAAUUUCCCACCAAGUCAAAUAGUUAAUUUACCUUAACUUAAUGGAGAAAAUAUGACUUUCUGGAGAAGGAAAAUGUAAAUAUAUGGUUUUACAAUUCCAAUUUUUAGUCACAUUACCAGAUUAAUAGUGCUAUAUAGUACUUUCCUAAAGGCAUAAAAAUUAUUGAGGAAUAUAGUAUUCUGCUUCAAGGUCAGCAGAGUGAAGGCAUUUGAUCCUUUGCUUGGAUCUGCAUUAUGUGUUUUUGAGGCCUUAGGACUCUGUGUAAGACAAGGCAUCUAUUGAAGCAUUUUGCCUAAAAUAUCUGUAAAAUUUGUACUUUUAAGAAGGGGGUAGGUACGUAGUAUUAACAAAUGGAUUGGCCUAGUCUCGUAGUAUCCUAACUGUCUGGACUAGCUACUUCUUUAAAAUGUCCAGAAAAGAUUUACUCUUCUUAAGUCCUGGUUUCAGAUAUGCUAGUGCUAAAUAGACAUAUCCACUCCCAGGUUUUGUCAUCUAGAUGUGUGUGCAGGUGAAAUUUAACAUUCAAAACUAUUAAAAAAAAAGAGUGAAGGCAAAAAAUCUCCCGAGGAUACUUCCUCCACCCACACCCCCCAUUUUUAACUAAUUCUAACUUACAUGUAAUUUGAAUUGUUGUUUAGGUACUUAUGACUUUACCUUAUUUUUUUACUGCUGGGUAUUUGAAUUCUGACCAAUAUUUAGUGACAGAAAUAACAGAUUGACAGAGAAACUGAGGCAGGAACAAAUGAAAGGGGAAUAUUAGCCUAAGCCUAUAUAUGAACUAGAUUGAUUAAAAGAGCAUUUGAAGCAUCAUGCAUCAACAUGCUAAUGUGGCAGUUGUGAGAGCAUGCAUUAUUGCAUGGCUGCUGGCAGACGAGAGCUAGUAUUUUGACUAAUGAUGCUGCAUGGAAAUACUGGUCCCUUUUGCAUGCAGACUGCAUCUUGCUUAGGCCAUCAGGUCUCCCAAACCUCGAGCAGUUGGACCUUUCGAUUUCUAUCGAUGCACAGCGCGGGAGGAACAGCACAAAUGCCACCGUGGUCAGCUUCAGAAAUGCUGUCGUGUUAACGCCAUCUCUGGUUUUGCUUUGGAAGAAGCUGUGGUUGGCUUGGACCUGUGGCUAAUGCCAUAUAGUUCCCCCCGAAUUGGCCGAUUGCUCCCUUUUACACGCUGCUUGUUAGCUGGGUACCUCACGCUCUGCUCAGAGAGGAUGCCGGUGGCUCCAAGCGAUGGGCAGAGGAGCUGCAGCAUCAUCAGGCAGGUUAACGCAAGGCAGGGAGCCAAGCCAGAAUUAAGGGUGGGGGGAGAGAAAUGGCAGAGAGAGGGAAGAUAAAGGGAGGCAGUAAGGGAGGGGUUGGGGACUCUGGAAAAUAGACAGAGAGGGCAGAGGAGCUGAUGGAGAGGUAUAAGAGAACUAGUAGGCAGAAGAAGAUUCUUCAGGUCUUCAAAAUCCAUAGACAUGUAAGAUGCGCUACAAGGCUUCAAGGAUUUCGCUGUGCUGCUGUGAGCCACGUGUCUUCCCAAGGCUUAUGGGACUGACCGGCUGGGUAGCUUUUAAUAUUCUUUGCCAUUUGAUAUAGAUUUGCUUCUGCAAAAUCAAGUCAGCAAUUGAGUCAGGCAAUUUUAAAGAAGUUUAUAAGUUUUCCAAAAGUCUUUAAUUCUCUGCAGGUCAUUCACCUUAGGGUUUGAUGUGCACAGUGAACUUCAGAUUUAUAUUACUUGAUAGUAAGAACUGUUUUUUGUGGCAUUCUACAGCUUUACAUUAUUUUCUACCAGUAGCUUAAACUUUUGACAUUUGAAUAAUUCCUCUGGCUGAGAUCUCCAAAAUAAUUUGUAUCCCUGAAAUGUUCUUGCGUUCGAAAAAACAUUUUGGUAGUAAUACUGCCCAGUCAAAUUUUAAACCUCUCUAUCAAGUUUUCUGUAUGCAGUUAAGAGUUUAAAAAUAGACUUGUCCCAAUGCAUGCCAAAAAUCUGGAGGCAGUCAAACUAAUAGAAAUAUGUAGACUUUCAUAAUGCAUUUACUGCAGGGAGAAAAAUAUGCCUAGGCUUUUGCUUUCAAAAAGCCUUUGUCUGUCUUCUUAAAAAAAAAGGAAAGGAAAGGUUGCCUACAGUUAUAUAGUGAUUCUCUUUAUAGACAUCGAAAUAUGUUAGCAUCCACUGGAUUCUGCUAAAGUGUUUCCUUACUUUCCUUAGAAGAGCGCGGGCCAAGCAAAGUCGAUGUGAGCUGCGAGAUACUCCACAUUUUUAAAAGCUGCCUAUGCUUAUUCAGUUAUAUAGAUGGAGAGUUUGGAGCCAGAAUGUUAGCAUUUUUUUUUUUAAAAAAAAAAAAAGGUAAAAAGCUCUAGACUUCAAAGGGUUGAUCCAAUGAAGUUUGAAAAUUCUGCAAAUUGAAUCUACGCUUGUGAAAUUGGGGCAUCGUAUAAGGAAAGGUCGAACAUAUGAUUUCAGCACAGCACUGGGGCCAGCCUUUGCGUGGCAGCGGCUGUAUGCACCUGUAUUGCCCAGGGAGCUGGGGAGAGGUUAGACUUUGAAACCUGCUGUUUUAAUCUCUUGCUGUGUAAAUUUGUGCCCUGUGGUGUUUCCUGCUAGGAUACCUCCAUGCUUGGGCCGUUGUAUAAAGCAACAAUUCUUCAGCUGAUGAUUUCUCCUUUUCUUCUGCAUCAUGGAGCCACACUGAGAAAGCAGUGAUUAAGCAACAGAGAUGGAGCCAGGGGAGCUUGUGGCUGCUGGCAGCCCUGCUGCUGCCCUUUAGCAUCUGAGCAUGGGCUCCAGUAUGGGAGCUGAUGUGGUUCCCAGCAGCAUUCAGCUGCCUCUUUUCUUAUUUUCUGAACUGCCUAGGUGGAAACUCCAAGCCAUGACUUUGCCAGGUGAGCUCCAUCUCUGCCCACCCACCCCUUUCUGGCACCAGCACCAUUGCAGACUGCUUCUUGGUGGUGGUACCUUCCUACUCCCUAUGCAUUUCUCCCAGAAGGUGGGAUAAAUGCACCCAUUUAGACAUAGCUGCAGGGGUUGUUGACCUCUAACAACCCUACUGUCAAUCUGUUCUUUGUAAUUGUUGACGUUUUAAUGUUCAAAAUAAGACUUUUAGAACUGGAGCUGUUUUGGUAAAAAUAGAAUUAGUACUUAACUGAAAUAACCACCACAUUUUUUUGGCCUAAACUGCUUGUUUUCACGAGCCUUUCUCAGAUCAUUGUUGCUUGAAUGCUACUCAGACAGGUGAAUAAGGGCUAAAUUGUGGGAGUACAUGCAGCAAAGUUAGAUUAUUAAUUGUUUGUGAAAUGCUACAUGAAUGCUAAAAGACAGUCUGAAUAAUUUUGUUUGUUUGUUUAUUUUGGCUUUCUUGUUGUUAUUCUUCAAGAAAGACAGCAAGAAUUUGGAACAUAUUUAGGAAGUAAGAGCCAGAUUUUCAGACAUAAAACAGGAAAGUCUUAGGUGUCUCAAUUCACAAAAGUCUUAACAAGUUGCCUAGACACUUAAACCACAGGGUUUCUGUCUCUCAUGUUCGUAAAAGCUCACUUAGCUCCCCGAAUUAUCUGGUUGCCUUUCAGGAGUGAUUAGUUUUCACCAGUCCAGGUGAUCAUGUCUCCACAGAGCCUGAUGGGCCACAUUUUGGAUAGCUGGGCUUGAAUCUGAAUACGUUGUCUUAGCCUGGUGGACGGACUUACACUGUGCCUGCACCAACCCACUUGUCUCUCCACACCAGUACCUCUUUCUCUGUUUCUGGCCAACAUCUUGCAUUUUCAGCAUUACAGUUUCUUUUGCAAAAGGAUCUUGUACAUGCAGCCUCUCUUUCUUCUUCGAACUCCGGUGUAAUACAAGGCCUGGGAAGCAAUAGUUUCAUGGAGCAGAGAUGACAAGGACUGGCCAGUUUUAGGUGAAAACUAAGGCAAUGGUCACAGUCUUUCCAAGUGUUGGUUGAUCACUUUGUUGUCUGACAGCCGAUGGGAAGAAGUUGCUCCAGCAAUGGGCAGAAGAACUUCUCCACAAGUGAAGCGGUUACCACCUAGUGCAAAGGAAAGACCCCACAACUCAUCAGAUCCAAACACAGACCACCUUAUGGGUGUGAGUUAUCUGGAAUAUAAACCCUGAGAUUUUUUUUAAGGGCUAAUCACAACUGUGCCACGUCUAACAGUGAAGGCUGUAGCAGCAGACCAAGAGGAACGGCCCGUUUGUGCCUGGGCUUAAGUGGACAUCUAUCACCCAACAUUUACCAUCAGAUACCUGCCCAGGAAGAUUCCAAGCAGUGGUUAUUUCUGGAUUCCCUUUUGCAGAAGACAAAAUAAUUUCCUGGACAAUUCCCAUUGCUACUUGUUUCUCCAUAGGUUUCCCUCCCACAACAGGAAGAUGCUGAACAUGGUCUCCAAAAGCCCUCAGAUCUACUUUUCCUUCUACCACAAAUGGACUCCAAAUGAUGCUACUCUUCAGCAAACCCUCUCUCCUCAGAUCUUGGUCAACCAUAGCCCCAGAGGCAGAGUGCGCCGCUUUCCUGGCCAAGGCAUGACGUGCCAUCUUAGCGUUGCAACCCCUGAUGUUUUCUCCAGGACACUUGUCUUGUGGCUGAUGUGCAGUCUGCACAUCCCAACACAGCAAACAGCACAAAGACCAGGUCAAAUAAGUCUGUUGCCAAGCUGCAUUCUGGCACCACCACAGGAAAGUGGAGCUGGUCCUGGGAGCCAAGAGGAGCACAGCUCAGGUGGGUCGUGGUGCCAUAGACGGGAUGACAUCUCACAGUUUGGCACUGGAACGGCGUGCCUCUUGGGGCCUCCUUCACCGCUGGUGCUGCUGUCACCACAGCUGUUGCUGGGACGAUGGCAGAUUCAAGGAUGGAGAAGCCCACCUCAACAGGGGCUCAUUCCACCACGUCCAGGCAGUCUGGAGGAACGACUGUGGAUCAAGAGAGUGUUAGUGCAGGAGAAAUGGGCUUGGACACAGCAAGAAAUGGCCAGCAGCAGGACAAGGCUUAUGUCACAAAGGUAUACAGAUCUGCCUGUCACGAGUGAUGAAGUGCCAUCUCCUCCUCACACUUGUUUAGUGCUCCAACUUCAUUCUCAGGAGGUUGGCAGGUGGCUGUAACACUUGUUUCUGACUUUGUUCCCUCCUCUAUUUCAGUAAUAAAGUCUCUAAUGUAAUAGUU